CCUACGGGAGGCAGCAGUAGGGAAUAUUCGGCAAUGGGGGGAACCCUGACCGAGCAACGCCGCGUGAACGAAGAAGUAUUUCGGUAUGUUAAGUUUUUUUAGUGGAGAAGAAAGAGCAAUUUCACGGUAACCAAUGAGUAUGCUCGGGCUAACUACGUGCCAGCAGCCGCUGUAAUCCGCAGGGAUCGAGCGGUAUCCGGAAUUAUUGGGCGUAAAGGGUGCGUUGAUGGUGGAUAUAAGUCGUUGGUAAAAAUGCUAGGCUCAACCUAGUAGAGCAAAAGAUACUGGUGAACUAGAGUACGGCAGAGGCAAGUGGAACUAGAGGUGUAGCGGUAAAAUGCGUAAAUAUAUGUAAGAACUCCGGUGGCGAAGGCGGCUUGCUGGGGCGGGACUGACAUUGAGGCACGAAAGCGUGGGGAGCGAACAGGAUUAGAUACCCCAGUAGUC
RNAcentral lists this ribosomal RNA (447 nucleotides) under uncultured bacterium. RNAcentral's name for it is "partial 16S ribosomal RNA". It matches the Rfam family "Bacterial small subunit ribosomal RNA", at positions 338 to 795 of the family's 1533-position model. The record is from RNAcentral.